CUCGUUUCAAAAGGGUUAACCCACAGCCAAUGGGAGCUUGGGGGAGCGGAUCCUGCUCACUCCAUUCAAGAAUCCCAAGUAUUCAAGAUGGACGGCAGGGAGUGUGGAAGGAGAAAGGGGGCGAGGGGGGAAGAGCGAGAUCGGCAGAGGAGAGGGCGCAGCGGCCGGCCGGCCCCCGGAUCUCAGUCCCGGCGGGCAGGUGGAGGGGCGGCCGCGGGGGAUCCGAGCCCGGCCGGGGAGAGGGGCUGGCGGGGUGCGAGAGGGCGUGAGAGACGGGGAGCGAGGCCAGGGAGGGAAGCCAAGAGGGAGGGAAGGGCAGAGAAAGAGCCCGGGAAGAAGGAGGUGGCAGGCAGAGGAACGUAACGAAGAGCAAUGUGCAGGGCCCCAUCCCCUGCUGCUCUGGGGGGCAGGGGCCGGAAGAUGGUGGCCAAUGAGGAGGGGGAGCGGAGAGAACUUGAGCCGGGGCCUCCCCUCCCCCAUUUCCUCCUCGGUCUCUACACCCGCCUCUGGAAGGAGCUGGGGGAUGGCUCCUGGGCCUAAGGUGGGGGAGGGGCCCUGCUGGCUGGUGAAUCGCAGGGCCCGCUCUGGAAUGAGUUGGGUGUGAGAGCCGAGGGGAUCUUGGCUCCAGGCCCCUCUCUUUUCUCUCUUCGAGGAGGGGUCUGGGCACGCCUUGGCGAAGAAUCUUCCCCUAGCCUCCCUGCAGCUUGCCGGGCAGUCCUGCCUUUGCCCCUCUGCCCCUUGUUGACAUGAUCCAGUUCCCAGCUGAGACUGGUUUGCCCAACCUAGGAACAGAGGCCUGGUGACUGACCCAGCAGGGCCUUGGUUUCCGUCCAUUAGAACUGUGCAAACUGUGGGACGGGGGCCCCAUGUUUGCAGAUUACAGGAGCAAACGCUGCCUGGGAAGCUGGGGGAGAACCUCUCCUGCUUCCUGAGGCGGGUGGGAGGAAGCUGGAGGGGAAGCCCAGAGGAAGAGCUCCCAACUGGAAUUCUGUCCUCCAUUCCUCCUGCUGGCUGUGGCGUGGGGAGGAGGGCAUCUCUCAGGGGGUCACUCCAUCGGCCAGAGGCCUUCGUUG
This 1073-nucleotide long non-coding RNA is filed under the name Equus caballus (horse). RNAcentral's name for it is "lncRNA (ENSECAG00000052465.1)". The record is from RNAcentral. Lineage: Eukaryota; Metazoa; Chordata; Mammalia; Perissodactyla; Equidae.